RNAcentral lists this ribosomal RNA (334 nucleotides) under uncultured Bacillota bacterium. Its description in RNAcentral is "bacterial SSU rRNA". It matches the Rfam family "Bacterial small subunit ribosomal RNA", at positions 28 to 351 of the family's 1533-position model. The record is from RNAcentral. Lineage: Bacteria; Bacillati; Bacillota.
GAUGAACGCUGGCGGCGUGCCUAAUACAUGCAAGUCGAGCGAACAGAUAAGGAGCUUGCUCCUUUGAAGUUAGCGGCGGACGGGUGAGUAACACGUGGGUAACCUACCUAUAAGACUGGGAUAACUUCGGGAAACCGGAGCUAAUACCGGAUAACAUUUAGAACCGCAUGGUUCUAAAGUGAAAGAUGGUUUUGCUAUCACUUAUAGAUGGACCCGCGCCGUAUUAGCUAGUUGGUAAGGUAACGGCUUACCAAGGCGACGAUACGUAGCCGACCUGAGAGGGUGAUCGGCCACACUGGAACUGAGACACGGUCCAGACUCCUACGGGAGGCAG